AAUUGCCCAAAAUAGCUAAAAUAUUCGAACCCACGAUCCCACCUCUUAGCUAAAACUAUUUGAUAACCUAAAAAUGGGAAAAGAAGCUAUUUAUACUAAGCUGAAAAAUCUGGACAAAAAUACCCCUGCGGGGCUAGUGCGGACCGCACAAAAUCACGUGCGGCCGCACUAAGGCUCUUGGCAUAAAAAUCUAUCUCUAUGAACUUAGGCAAUGCAGACAACAGAAUGGAGUGCGAUCGCGGAGGCUUCUAGUGCGGUCCGCAUGAAAUGGAGCGCGGACCGCAUUGGCUUGAAACUCGAAACUGGCAACUCUCUGAUCCUUCUUACUGCGGACUAUACUAAAUUGAGUGCGGCCGCAUUGAUCCCAGUGCGGACCGCAUAAAACCUAGUGCGGCCGCAUUGAUACUUUUUGCCUGAAUAUCAUACUCUCUGAACCUCACUUGUGCGGACCGCACAAAAUGGUGUGCGGCCACACUGGCCUUGUUUUGUCUGAGCUUUGUUUUGUCUUGAUACUUGUGCAAGUUUCACUCCUUUUGAGCUGAUCUUUGACAUCUUGUUACCUUGUUGAUCAAACCUGCAAUUAAGCACAACUUGUGAGCCUUUGGGACUAUUUUGUACACAUUUCUAAUCAAAACUUAAGCAAGAAGGAGUAUAAAAUGUAUCAAAAUCCCUAGUUAUCAGCCACCCCACUUGGAGACUGACACUUCGAGAAAACUUGAAGUAAAAUGGGAAAAUAAACCCAAGGGGCAAAUCCCGAACUAAAGAGGCUACAUCCAAAUUAAUACGGUUCUGAGACGUCCGAAUUCCGUAACAAAAUAGGCCUUCGAAUUCUUUCAUAAACCGGUUAAAAGGGCUACCCCCCGCAAAAUCAUCAAAGGCUUCGAUAAUAUCAAGCCUCAAAAACUCUGAUGAAUACAAAAUUGUUCGAACUCUCGAACAAUUCCUUAUUUCAUGCUAAGGCACUACAAGUAUUGCCAAUACAAAUGAUAAAAAAACUUUUCAAGCCAAAAGGGGAGAAAGCCAUAAACAAUCUUUUUACAAAUGGCAUGUCGGCCUAAUACAAAAGCCUAAGGGUUGUUUUUGCUUUGAGUUCGACCAUCCUCGCUCAAAUAAAAAACCUAAGGGUUACCUUACUUCGAGUUCAAGCAAACACUCACUCGAUCGUAAAGGCUAUACUAGUUCAGUAUCAAUGAUAUUAUCUAAACCUCAGACCUUAGAAUACAACUUCAUAAUUUUAUAAGGUAGAAAGGAAGAAUUUUUUUAUAUAUAUGUCAAAAUCAUUUAUAAUGCCAGCAUGGCCCGAUCAGAAUUCUCUACAAAAGGCUAAAACAGCCUUAAAAGAAACACGAAGAAAAAAAUACAAAUUCCAAGGGCCUAGUCUUCUCCAGGAGCAGCAUCUUCACUCUCGGGGCCUUCCACUUCCAGCCCCGCUCAUGCACCUAGAAUCGGCAUCGUCGUCAGGAAAGGCCAACACUUUGGCUUCAGCUUCAAGCUCUUUGCCACUCUCGAUCUCGGCUGUAAGACCGAAACAACGAGUGUGGAUCUCCUCGAGAGUCUCCCUUCGAGAUUGGCAUUUCACAUGCUCGGCAACCCAGUUUGCUCGAAUCUGAGCAGCUUUAGCAACCUCCUUUGCUCGAGCCUGAGCAUCUUCAAUGUCGGCCCGGUAGAUGGCCACCAUUACAUCAGCAUUAGCCUUGGCCGUUUCGAUCUCCAAUUUGACCGCUGCAAGUUCUGUGGCUAGCUUCUCUCGAUUGGAAGUUGCUAAACCCAAUCGAGACUGGAACUCCUCAAUUUUCUUGGCUUGUACCAAGGCAUUAUCUUUCAAGCUUCGAAGUUGGUUUUCAGUCAAGGCCAGUUGAGCUCAAGCAACUUCCCUUUCUGAGGCCAGGCGGUCCAUUUUCUCCUUCCAUCCUUCGGUAUUAGUUUUUAAUGCAUCUGCUUCUUCAUGAAGUUGCCUGAUUACGUCAAGCUUUUGUUGGACCUGCGGGUUCGAACCAUUAGCUGCCACGCCUGAAUUACCAUCACAAACUUCAAAUAUUCUUCUUACCUGCUCCAUCAGUUUAGUAUGUUCUUUCUGAGACGUUUCUAGCUUAGCACGGAGGCCUUUAGCUUUCCCUACUCUUUACUCACUGAGAAUAUUGAAGGCAUCAUUUUCCUUAGUUAGACCUCGGAUCUAGGCCUCAUAACGGCUCAGUUCCCCUCAGAAUUGGAGAAAAGCCCUGUGAUGAAGCUCUGAAGCCUGCAACAAAGAAGGGAAAACUAUACAAGGGGAGAAAAAUCUAAGUAUGAAAAUUGAUAAGGAAAUAAGGGAUUACCCGGUUUAGAGCCUAUUAGGCUUCGUUAAAAAGACAAGGCGCUCCCGCCUCGUCCAUUUGGGCUUGGUCUUCUUUUAUGACCAAACAUCGGAGGUAGCUAGCCACCCCUAGAGGGCAGCAAGAACCCGGGCAUCCUCCGGGGCCGUGAUAAUGAUUGUUCGCUUGCAUUUGGUAUCGGCGCUAGGGGACAAAAAUUGAUUGGUUAGUUUAAAACUCAAGGAAGCCUCACCCGAGCUCUUAUUUGGAACCUCCAAGUCACUCAGACCGGUGAAAUAUUCUACCCCAACAAAAUAACCACGGAAAGGAUCUUCCCCUCCGUGAGCUCCUUCCCCAUGACAAGUCUCUACGGACUGAGCGUCAUGUAUCAUAGAAUCGGAAAGUGAAGGAAACAAGAGGGAAUCCUCGAUCUCUAUUUCCCCAAGUGGGUCAUUUGAGGAACUGCCUCUAUCUUGGGAAGCUCAAGCCCGGUUUCUACACCAGCAUCUACUGCCUCUUCAACAGUCUAUUUGCCCCGAGAUAAAGCAUCUUUGGUUCCUCUUGGAUCGGGGACUUGGGCCAAAGUCUCCUCCUCGACCUCAUCGAACCUAGGCAGAUCAGUAUCAAGUCCCACCGGUUUCGAAGUGCUCCGAAUCUCGCUGCUAGCUCGCGCGGGCCACCAGCCCAGAAUCAUCUUCAUUCUCUUCUUCUUUUUCUUCCCUUAAUCUUUGGACUGACUCCAUAGUCAGUAGGAUUGUGUUCCCAUUGGGUUUAUGAGUUGUUCUCUUCUUGGGUUUUUGACCCUCAGAGUUCGAGGCCCUUUUUCCUCUUAUUCUCCUUUGCUGGUUUUGAGAUAGGUGGUGAACUUAUUCAUCACCGGACGAGGGUCUCAUAGUCGCGUCCUUUCCGAGACCUACAAAAGGAGAAAGUAAGUAAACUUAUGUUUGAAAAGAUGUUUGGACGAUAAGCAAAUCGGUAAAUCAGGAAGAAGGCUUACCAUGAUUACGAGCCUCCCAACGACACUUUGAGAAAUUGCGCCAUACGCGCUCGGCACGUGUUGACGUCGAAACCGAGCUCCUAACCUAGUUUUCGAGGUAGGGAACUACACCCGGCAUCUAAGUAGCUGUUGUAUUGAGAAAAACACUAAUAAUAAAGGAUGAAGAAGCAAAAACAAUGACCAGAAAUUAAAGACGGAACCGUACUACGUUUCAUAUUCCAUUUCUCAGGAAAUGGCAUGAUUUCAGCAGGGAUUAGGUCUGUGGUCUUCAUCCGAAUGAACCGGCCAAUUCAGCCCUGGUCUUUAUCUUUGUCUAUGCUAGAGAUAGGCACCUUGGUGGCCCGACAUUGGAGCUUUAUCAGCCCACCUCGAUAGAGUGGAGGACUAUACAACCUUAUGAUAUGGUCAAGGGUGAAGGGGAGCCCGUCGAUUUUACUUACGAAGAAACGGAGCAGUAUCACGAUCCUCCAGAAAGAGGGUUGAAUUUGGCCGAGGGUUACCUAGUAUUUCAUGCAGAAGUAUAAUGACCGGAUCGAGGGGACCCAACGUGAAAGGGUAAGUGUAAACACUCAAACCCUUCCAUGUGGGUAGUGAUUGCUUCUUCUGGUGUCGGUAUCACAACCUCUUUGUUUCCCCAGUUGCAAUCUUUAUUCACCUGAUCAAGGAGGUUUUGGGUAUCGAGCAUAUAUAUCUAGAUACUAGCUCAUAUUGACCCGGAACUGAUGAGGUUUUCUCGACCUUAAAGUCAGAAUCAAUAACACACACAUCGAGAAUAAGCUCUUCAAGACGUGGCUCCACCACUGGUUUCUCACCGGCGGUCCAAGACAAGGAAGUGAUUUCUUUCUACGGAACAGUUUUAGAUGUUUCUGCCAUUUUGUCUUUUGUAGGCAAAGAAGAAUAGAGAUUGGAAUAUUUGGUGUUUUGGGAAGAACAAGCAAAGAAACUCAAUGACAUGAAGAUAGGAAGCUCUGAAGAAGGCAAAGAACUAUGAAGAUUAGAAUGAAAGAGAUUGAAAGUAAUGUUUCAAAUAAUAAAGAAGGUGGUUAUUUAUUGGUUUCACAAUAAUGGUUCAAAGCUGGUAGUGGCCGACCAUCGACAGACGUGCAUUACAUGUCUAGAAAAUUGUAUCAACGGGACAUUUCGGUCACUUCUGCCACUUACGUCACGAUGCUUAUGUCAUGAUAAACCGAAGGGAAGUUCGAAGACUCAAUUUGUUUCUUGUCAUUACACUCCAAAAAAUGAGGGACUAUGUGUAUACGGUCAAAAUUGGGCUUGUCUCAUUUUGUAUGGAUAAUCGAACUCGGGGUGGCAGACCAAGGCUCGGCCUCGCGUUGUAUAGAACCAUGGCACAGAGAUGGAUUGUUAAGCUCAUGAAUCAAUGACCGAUCAAGAUCGAGACCAGCCAUGAUCGAGACCGAAGCGGGAUAGAGAUCGAGCGAGAUCGAAGGAAGCCUGCUAAGUCAAAUAACAGAAAACCAAGAUAUCCGUGAUCGGGCAAGGAUCGUGGCAGAAAUCUCGGAGCGUAUCAAGUCAAGACUGGUUAUUUAGCCAAUCAUGGGAUUUUCUUCUGUAUUUAGAAUUGUACCAUAAGUAGAAUUCCACUACUAUACAAAGUGGGUUCUAAUCAUUUUAUAAACAUCAUAUUCACGCAUAGCAGAGCAAUAUAUUACAUUUUCUCUCUCAAGUUUUGUUGUUCAGUUCAUACUUUUCAAUUACACGUUCAUUCGGUUCGGGGGUGAUCUAGCUCGAGGGCCAAGCUGCGCUUUAUAUUGGUUUGCUUUUUUUUUUUUACAGUUAAUUUCUAACAUUAAUUCUCAUAUUUCUCAGUUUGUGUCAAGUGAAAUCACAUAUCCUUAAAAUCACUUAUAAAUUUAAUUGUUAUCCAAUUUUAAGGGUAAUCUCAUCAAGGAAAUAAGUAUUCGUGUGAGAGUUUCACUUACAAAUGAAAACGUUUCAGCUUGAAGGUUGGCAAUUGUUUGUGAAUUUGAGAAUGAAAAUCAACUAUAAAUUGAAAAGAGAAAAAAAAAAACGAGUUGAAGUUUUUUCCCAAGUGAGAUUUUUCAAAUAUUAAACUUCCACUUAGAGCUCUCAACUCUUACAAAUUUUUUUGUCCAAAAAAAUCAACUAUCUAUAAACAACGUUAUAUUCCACUAACAUUUUUUCUAGAUUUUCACUUAAAUGAUUUUUUCAACUUCAAUUUUAAAUAGAACUCUUGCUCUAACAAAAGAAUGAAAGAUAGAUUUAAAAAGUUACAGGUCCCUAAGCAGAAAAACAGCACCAACAAAACACGAUUGAACUGCUUCUCUCUUUUUUAUAUUUUGUACUAAAUCUAUACUACACUCUACAAGCAUUAGAGAAUUAAAUAAUGUAGAAGUAAGUCAUACUCGUUAGUUACUUUCAUCUCGAAUCCCCAAAUCUAUAUAUAUAUAUAUAUAUAUGUAUAUAUAUAUAAAGUUGGGAGUAGGAAAGCUGACGUGAUAUCUUCCAUAGAUGAAGAUUGUUAUUUAUCUUCUUUUUUUUGUUUUUUUUUUAAAAAAAUUGUCCAAAAAUCUUUUUCCCUUUCAAUGGACUUUAUACUAUUAAAUAUAUUACAUUUAUUACACUUAAUUAUAAUGUUUCUUCCAUUUCUUAGGCAAUUUAAUUCAUCAUAAUUAUCAACAAAAUUGUUAUAUGCAUAAUAAUGAUCCAAUAAAUUUAUUUUCAACUAACUUAUUUAGCCAUACAGUGAAGAGAGGAAGAUACCCCAUGGCACUAGCUAUGAGGAAUUACAUCAACCACAUGUGGCUAGCCAAUGUCCUAGACCCCUUAGCCCCAACUAUUGCACCAACACUGCUACACAACAUGCAAGCCCAAUGGAAUUUAUCAAACCACUUCAAUCCACUCAACAACAGAAUUGUUGUACCAUCUCCCCUUCUUCACUCCAGUCGAGCAUGUCAACAACAACCCAGUUUUCUACCCUUGGCAACCAAUCCCCCAGCAUCACCCAAUACCCACGGACUUUUACCACCAACAACCACCUCUAUUCGAACAAGAGCAAGACGACCCAGAGAUGCCAGAAGAACGAAUAGAGGAGGUAAAAGCUCCACCGGUCAGGGGAUCGUUCACCGAGAUUUUAAGCCUCAGAGAAGCAACUCUAAUGCUCUUUCAAGAACUAGAAGACAGAAAGUAUGUUCUCCGAUGCCCAGUGACACUCUACAAAUGUUCAAUCGACAUCCGCCCACCCAUUCUCCAACCAACGGGGAAUAUUGCGGCGGUUCUGAGUCCCUCUCUAAGGAAACCCAACUACCUCCUUCAUCAAGGAGUAGGGAACAAUCACCACAACCCAAUGAAUAGCCCAAUGAGCCUAGUUGUAUGGAAUAUUCGCGGGGCUAACAACGAUGAUUUCAAAAGAAACUUUAGAGAACUUUUGAAUACUCACAAUCCAGGCAUGGUGGCCCUUCUAGAGACAAAAAUGACAGACCACACACCUAUCAGGGAUGAGUUUCUCUUUACUGACAUGUUAGAAAUCCCUGCAAUAGGCUAUGCGGGGGGUAUUGUGAUUUUAUGGUUUGGGAACUUAGUUACCCUAAAUCUUGUUAGCCGCUCUCACCAGGAAAUACAUACCAUGUUGCAGGUAUCUCCCAUCCAACCCCCCUAUCUUAUUAGUAUUUUAUAUGCUAGUACUUGUUUAAAUAUGCGAAAAGACCUUUGGAACAACCUUUGUGACAUAGCGGAUAAUUAUCAUGGACUAUGGUUAGUCGGAGGCGAUUUUAAUAAAAUUUUAUCUCAAAAUGAAAAAUGGGGUGACCGGCCUCUCAACUCAAAUAGGGCUACACAGUUUUGGUCAUGUCUAAACUAUUGUAAUUUACUAUAUCUUGGUUUUAAAGGGGCUAAAUACACUUGGACCAACUGUUGUAUUAAUUCAGGUGGUCUAAUCUUAGAACGGUUAGAUAGAUACCUCGCCAACACCCUUUGGAUCAACUAAUACCCUAAUGCCCUCAUCACACACCUACCUAGAACUCACUCAGAUCAUGUUCCACUUCUUCUCCAAUUUAAAGGAAAAGAACCUCCCCAUAAGAAAAAGUUAUUUAGACGAGAGACUUAUUGGUGUCAACAUAUGGAGUUUGAAAAAAUAGUCAAAGACUCGUGGCAAAAUAGACAAUUCCUCGAAGCCACGGAAUUUUUUCAACAUAGUGUCACUCUUUGGGCAAAAAAUACUUUUGGAGACUCUGAUAGAAAAAAAAAAGAAUCCUAGCAAAACUGCAAGGGAUCCAAUCUUCCAUAAAUUACCCUCAUAGUCAUUUCCUACAUCUUCUUGAAAAGGAUUUAAUUACUGAAUAUAAUACCAUUCUUAAAAUCGAGGAAGACUAUUGGAAAAUACGUUCCCAUUUAAACUGGCUAAAUGAUGGGGAUGCCAAUACAUCUUCUAUCUAAGUGUCAUCAAUCGUAGAAGAAAAAUACUAUCUCCUUCUUUAAAGAUAAUAAUGGUAACUGGAUCCAUGAUCCAAUCCAAAUUCUAGUCCAUACAUCCCAAUAUUUCCACAAAGCUUUCCAAACAGAACACAUAGAUACCCCUAUAAAAAAUAUUCUGAGUUCACAAACAUCCUUUGACAAUCUAGAUCUAUCCCCAUUGGACUACUCAGUGCACGACUAUGAAGUCACUCGAGCAAUUUUUUCAUUCAAACCUUUUAAGGCCCCAGGACCGGAUGACAUUCAUCCUUUUUUUAUCAAAAAUAUUGGCAUAUCGUCAAAAAUCAAGUUCUAUCAUUUUGUCACAAAAUUUUUAAAGACCUUUCCAUCCCCACCUCACUCAAUUCUACAUAUAUCUGUCUCAUCCCAAAAUUUCAAAAUGCAAAUAGCCUUAAUAACUUCCGACCUAUCGGCCUCUGUAACACCAUUUACAAGGUAGUCACUAAGAUUAUCGUCAACAGAAUCAAGCCCUUCCUUUACAAACUAAUUGGCCCCUGUCAAUCUAGCUUCCUCAAGGGCAGAAGAACUUGCGAUAACGCUAUCAUGAUUCAAGAAAUCAUACACAAUUUCCAAAAAAUAAGAGGCCAAAAAAGUAAGGUUCUCCUAAAAAUUGAUUUGGAAAAAGCAUUCGAUCGUCUUGAAUGGUCAUUCAUGUAUCGGGGUUUAAUUUUCUUCAAAUUUCCCCCUUGCAUCACAAAAUUUAUUAUGAGUUGUGUUAGCACCUCCAGAAUUGCCAUCCUAGUUAAUGGCUCCAAAACGGAAUUCUUUUACCCCUCGAGGGAAAUUCGCCAAGGCGAUCCAAUGUCUCCCUCCCUUUUUAUCCUAUGUAUGGAACUAUUGUCAAAAUACAUUAAUCACCAGGUCAACGUUGGAGUCUGGGAUCCAAUUAAAAUCAAUCCCACUGUCCCUCCCAUCUCUCACCUAUUCUAUGCGGAUGACCUAACUCUCUCUGCCAACGCUAACACAAGGCCAAUCCACAUAAUCAAACAUAGCCUUAUCUUUUUUUCCAAGCUCUAGGGCCAAAAAAUCAACAAAGCAAAAUCAAAAAUUAUCUUUUCACAAAACUGUGAUGCUCAUACAAAAAAUCUCUUUCCAAAUAUUCUGGACAUCCAACCCAGUUAUAACUUUGGGAAAUAUUUGGGCUUCCCAAUUCUCACUCGAAAAUCCAAAGCAUCUGAUGUUCGCUACAUUAUUGACCACAUGAACACAAAACUUGCGGGUUGGAAAACAAACUUCCUUUCCAUUGUAGGUAGAACAACCCUUGCUAGAUCAACUCUUAAUGCCAUCCCGAACCAUGUAAUGCAAUAUAUCAUGCUCCCGGCAUCCACUCUAAAGCGAAUUGACAAAAUCCAAAGGGAUUUUAUAUGAGGCACCACCACUUAAAAACGAAAAAUUCAUUAUGUCAAAUGGUCCACUAUUACCCAACCAAAACAAGCAGGUGGCCUGGGCCUCAGGAAAGCAGCAGAUAAAAACAUGGUUUCCCUGGCUAGUCUCUCAUGGCGUUUGUUCAACAACUCAAGCUCCCUAUGGGCCUCCACUCUUAUUUCAAAAUACAGCCAUAAAAGAAACCCCAACACUAAUUCAUUCAUCUGGAAUAACAUCAUAACAGGCUGGAAAAUCUGUGGUCAAGGUCUACACUGGAUAGUGGCCCGGGCAACAUUAACUGUUGGACCUCUGCGUGGAUUCCAGGUCUCCCACCCUUAAGCUCAAUCAUCCAAGGUCCAAUGAAUUAUUCUGACCAAACACUCAAAGUCAAAGACCUUUGGGAUUCUAACUCUUGGAAUCUCACAAAAUUAUCCUAUACUCUAUCUAUAGAUAUACAAAACAAAAUAAAAUCUAUCAAACUGGACUCCCUCACCAAUACUAGGGACAUACCCACUUGGGCGCACACCUCUAAUGGUAUUUUUUCCUCCAGCUCAGUAUACAAGCUAAUCUCAAAGCCUCUUCCCAACACUUUUAAAUUCUAAUGGAUUUGGAUUCUUAAUACACUCCACAAAAUAAAAUACUUUCUAUGGCAAUGCUUCCACAAUCGGCUCCCUACUCUAACCCAUUUGCACCAAACCGGAUUACACAAUGACACCCUAUGUCCCAUAUGUAGAGUAGCGGAGGAGUCACUUAUUCACAUUUUCUUUGAAUGCCACAUAGCCACCAAAUUUUGGAGCGACGCUCAACUCAACCUUCCUCAGUUCCAUCAAAAUCCUGACCAUUGGCUUAAUACAUUAAGGGAUUUAUACAAAACCUUAGAUCAAUGGGAUAUCUCCUGGGGCAUGUUCUUUCGCUUUGCCAUAUGGUCUCUAUGGUUAAAUCGAAAUAACAACUCCUUCAACAAAAAGUGUAAUCAGCUUCCUAUUGAAACAGUUCUCGUAAGAUGCAAAGAAUUCAUAUACUGUACUAACUCUCCAAGCCAUGUUCCUCCUUCUAUCACUAUCUCUACUAAAUGGAUACCUCUAACAAACCACUCCUUUAAACUAAAUAUUGAUGGGGCCUUCAAAGAAAAAUAUAGGAAAGGAGGCUUUGGAGGUGCAUUCAGAAAUGGCCGGGGGGAUUGGAUUUUGGGUUACAACAAUUCUGCUAUAGCCUACACCCCUGCCUAUAUGGAGCUCUUAGCCCUCAAAACUGGACUUCAACUAGCCUGGGAUAAAAAGAUGGUUGACAUUGAAAUCGAGACCGAUGCAACAGAUGUUAUUUUCUUGCUUAAUAAUGAUACUUGUUCUAUUUACUCUAACUUGGUUAUUGAGUGCAGGUCACUACUAAGGAAAUUGCAGAAUCCACCGAUCCGGCAUAGCUUCAUAGAAGGAAACAAAGUAGCGCACUUUUUGGCCACUAAUGGAUUCAAACAACCAAGUAGCUCCACCCCCUAUCUGAUGGAACAGCCUCCUUAUUCUCUUUUGCAAAUCCUCCACAAAGACAAGACUGGAACCUUUUAUAGUAGGACUUUAUCUACGGCUGUAAUUUCCAAAUUAAUAAAAUUUGGGAAUCCUUUUGUAAAUGGCUCUACUAAUAUCGGCAGUAUGGUAGAACAAUCUCUGAAUGAUCCCAAUAGGACUCUCUAUCCUUGUAAUAGUACUAGUUAAUUUAUAAUAAUAACUUCGUAUUUCCAUCAAGAAAAAAGAAGGAAGACACCCUAAUUAGAAGAUUACAUGUACUUCACAUUUACGAAAAUGUUACAUAUUCUACUAUUCUCAAUUCCAUAUAUUUUUCUACUUUUGUGUUCCUCUUUCAAUUCUGUCGAUUCCUCAAAUUCUGUUCUUUCAUUUGCACUUCUCUAUCAAAAAGUGAUCUUAUUUGCGUCUAUUAUACGAGAAGCAGAUGUCUUUUGUGUUGAAUACAUGGAGAAGAGUAUCAAUCCCUUAUCUUAUGAAGCACAUAACUUCCACCAAGUAAAAUUUUGUAUUUCUUGGGUUUUAUAACCUUUCUUUGAUUAGAUAUACGGAAAAAAAAAAUUUGAUUCUCUAUAGGAGAAGAUAAAUCUCUUUUUUCGAUGCAAAUUUGACAUGAUAGAAGAGAAGCCUCCCUUUAUCAAGAAUUAUAUUUUUAAUAAUAUAAAGGUUUAACUUUAUCCUUAUAGUUUCUUUUGCAGGACAAACAUGACACAUAAAAUCAAAGCACAUAAAAGAUCAUGAAAGAAGAAUUCAUCACUAAAAAGGUAACUUGCCUUAUUGAUUUCCUCAGGAAGCUUCCAUCAAUAUGUUAUGCAAAUAUGUAAUUAAACAACAAUUUUUCCUUUUCGAAAGCAAUCAGGAACCUACUAUUUUUCAUUUGAAUUACUCGGAGGACUCUAGAGAGAGAGACCAGCAUGUUAAUAAUGGUGUUAAGAGUGGGUAGAGGAAAAAACAAAUCCAGAUAACGAUGAAUUUCGUGAUGCAAAGAACAACAAAUUAAAUACAAGAAACAAAUAGUUUGGGUUAAGAGCUAAUAUGGUAUGGUCC
RNAcentral lists this long non-coding RNA (11666 nucleotides) under Nicotiana tabacum (common tobacco). RNAcentral describes it as "long non-coding RNA (NTAB_LNC004867)". The record is from RNAcentral. Lineage: Eukaryota; Viridiplantae; Streptophyta; Magnoliopsida; Solanales; Solanaceae.